CACGUAGGGCGCAAGCGUUGUCCGGAAUUAUUGGGCGUAAAGAGCGCGCAGGCGGCUUGGUAAGUCGGAUGUGAAAUCCCGAGGCUCAACCUCGGGUCUGCAUCCGAUACUGCCCGGCUAGAGGUAGGUAGGGGAGAUCGGAAUUCCUGGUGUAGCGGUGAAAUGCGCAGAUAUCAGGAGGAACACCGGUGGCGAAGGCGGGUCUCUGGGCCGAUAUUGACGCUGAGGAGCGAAAGCGUGGGGAGCAAACAGG
RNAcentral lists this ribosomal RNA (253 nucleotides) under uncultured bacterium. RNAcentral's name for it is "partial 16S ribosomal RNA". It matches the Rfam family "Bacterial small subunit ribosomal RNA", at positions 524 to 776 of the family's 1533-position model. The record is from RNAcentral.